This 1688-nucleotide ribosomal RNA is filed under the name Salmonella enterica subsp. enterica serovar Typhimurium str. STm3. RNAcentral describes it as "bacterial LSU rRNA". It matches the Rfam family "Bacterial large subunit ribosomal RNA", at positions 1271 to 2925 of the family's 2925-position model. Lineage: Bacteria; Pseudomonadati; Pseudomonadota; Gammaproteobacteria; Enterobacterales; Enterobacteriaceae. The record is from RNAcentral. RNAcentral also lists the same sequence under 3 other names.
UGCUGGAGGUAUCAGAAGUGCGAAUGCUGACAUAAGUAACGAUAAAGCGGGUGAAAAGCCCGCUCGCCGGAAGACCAAGGGUUCCUGUCCAACGUUAAUCGGGGCAGGGUGAGUCGACCCCUAAGGCGAGGCCGAAAGGCGUAGUCGAUGGGAAACGGGUUAAUAUUCCCGUACUUGGUGUUACUGCGAAGGGGGGACGGAGAAGGCUAUGUUGGCCGGGCGACGGUUGUCCCGGUUUAAGCGUGUAGGUGUGUGUUCCAGGUAAAUCCGGUUCACUUUAACACUGAGGCGUGACGACGAGGCACUACGGUGCUGAAGCAACAAAUGCCCUGCUUCCAGGAAAAGCCUCUAAGCAUCAGGUAACACGAAAUCGUACCCCAAACCGACACAGGUGGUCAGGUAGAGAAUACCAAGGCGCUUGAGAGAACUCGGGUGAAGGAACUAGGCAAAAUGGUGCCGUAACUUCGGGAGAAGGCACGCUGACACGUAGGUGAAGUGAUUUACUCAUGGAGCUGAAGUCAGUCGAAGAUACCAGCUGGCUGCAACUGUUUAUUAAAAACACAGCACUGUGCAAACACGAAAGUGGACGUAUACGGUGUGACGCCUGCCCGGUGCCGGAAGGUUAAUUGAUGGGGUCAGCGUAAGCGAAGCUCCUGAUCGAAGCCCCGGUAAACGGCGGCCGUAACUAUAACGGUCCUAAGGUAGCGAAAUUCCUUGUCGGGUAAGUUCCGACCUGCACGAAUGGCGUAAUGAUGGCCAGGCUGUCUCCACCCGAGACUCAGUGAAAUUGAACUCGCUGUGAAGAUGCAGUGUACCCGCGGCAAGACGGAAAGACCCCGUGAACCUUUACUAUAGCUUGACACUGAACAUUGAGCCUUGAUGUGUAGGAUAGGUGGGAGGCUUUGAAGUGUGGACGCCAGUCUGCAUGGAGCCGACCUUGAAAUACCACCCUUUAAUGUUUGAUGUUCUAACGUGGACCCGUAAUCCGGGUUGCGGACAGUGUCUGGUGGGUAGUUUGACUGGGGCGGUCUCCUCCUAAAGAGUAACGGAGGAGCACGAAGGUUGGCUAAUCCUGGUCGGACAUCAGGAGGUUAGUGCAAUGGCAUAAGCCAGCUUGACUGCGAGCGUGACGGCGCGAGCAGGUGCGAAAGCAGGUCAUAGUGAUCCGGUGGUUCUGAAUGGAAGGGCCAUCGCUCAACGGAUAAAAGGUACUCCGGGGAUAACAGGCUGAUACCGCCCAAGAGUUCAUAUCGACGGCGGUGUUUGGCACCUCGAUGUCGGCUCAUCACAUCCUGGGGCUGAAGUAGGUCCCAAGGGUAUGGCUGUUCGCCAUUUAAAGUGGUACGCGAGCUGGGUUUAGAACGUCGUGAGACAGUUCGGUCCCUAUCUGCCGUGGGCGCUGGAGAACUGAGGGGGGCUGCUCCUAGUACGAGAGGACCGGAGUGGACGCAUCACUGGUGUUCGGGUUGUCAUGCCAAUGGCACUGCCCGGUAGCUAAAUGCGGAAGAGAUAAGUGCUGAAAGCAUCUAAGCACGAAACUUGCCCCGAGAUGAGUUCUCCCUGAGACUUUAGGUCUCCUGAAGGAACGUUGAAGACGACGACGUUGAUAGGCCGGGUGUGUAAGCGCAGCGAUGCGUUGAGCUAACCGGUACUAAUGAACCGUGAGGCUUAACCUUACAACGCCGAAG